This 73-nucleotide transfer RNA is filed under the name Actinocrispum wychmicini. It matches the Rfam family "tRNA". From Rfam's summary of the family: Transfer RNA (tRNA) molecules are approximately 80 nucleotides in length. Their secondary structure includes four short double-helical elements and three loops (D, anti-codon, and T loops). Lineage: Bacteria; Bacillati; Actinomycetota; Actinomycetes; Pseudonocardiales; Pseudonocardiaceae. The record is from Rfam by way of RNAcentral. RNAcentral also lists the same sequence under 1 other name.
GCCCCUGUAGCUCAGCGGAUAGAGCGCUUCCCUCCGGAGGAAGAGGUCGCACGUUCGAAUCGUGUCGGGGGCA